This 71-nucleotide transfer RNA is filed under the name Sphenostylis stenocarpa. Its description in RNAcentral is "tRNA gene-AYBTSS11_LOCUS10190". Lineage: Eukaryota; Viridiplantae; Streptophyta; Magnoliopsida; Fabales; Fabaceae. The record is from RNAcentral.
AUUUUGGUAGCUUAGUGGUUAUAGUAUCAGCCUCCAACUCUAAGGUACUGGGUUCGAAUCUCGCCAAAGGA